UACGUAGGGUGCAAGCGUUGUCCGGAUUUAUUGGGUUUAAAGGGUGCGUAGGCGGCCCAUUAAGUCAGCGGUGAAAGCCCGGGGCUCAACCCCGGAACCGCCGUUGAUACUGGUGGGCUUGAGUAUGGACGAGGUUGGCGGAAUUGAGGGUGUAGCGGUGAAAUGCUUAGAUACCCUCAAGAACACCGAUUGCGUAGGCAGCUAACUAGGCCAUAACUGACGCUGAGGCACGAAAGCGUGGGGAGCGAACAGG
RNAcentral lists this ribosomal RNA (253 nucleotides) under uncultured bacterium. RNAcentral's name for it is "partial 16S ribosomal RNA". It matches the Rfam family "Bacterial small subunit ribosomal RNA", at positions 524 to 776 of the family's 1533-position model. The record is from RNAcentral.